RNAcentral lists this long non-coding RNA (263 nucleotides) under Elaeis guineensis (African oil palm). RNAcentral's name for it is "long non-coding RNA (EGUI_LNC056126)". The record is from RNAcentral. Lineage: Eukaryota; Viridiplantae; Streptophyta; Magnoliopsida; Arecales; Arecaceae.
GGGUAAAGAUAUAUUCUGACAUAUUCUUGCUAUUAUUAUGUCCAACUAAAAAUUGGAGUCAAAUUCUACAAGUUUUAAGUUAGAUUUUCUGUAACCAAAUCACCGAUCCUUAGUAUUUCUCAAAUACUUAAAGAUGACCUUCCAGUAAUUCUCAUCCAGAUCUUGCAGGUAUCCACUCACUACUCUAUUGAGUAUACCAUAUCCUAUCUCAUACAUGGUGUAUAUGAUAGAAUAAAUUCUACUCAUAAAUACUCUAUGUAUGU